Molecule: RNA transcript, 4287 nt
Organism: Colossoma macropomum (tambaqui)
Lineage: Eukaryota; Metazoa; Chordata; Actinopteri; Characiformes; Serrasalmidae
Exons: 11
Source: RefSeq, a predicted model, not a curated record
CUACAAAGGCUUUCUGAAGGAACGUCUGGAUGCUCUUGGUAUGGAGAAUCCUGUCUACGAAACUGACCAAAAAAAGCCCCCUGAAGACGCAAGAAGCUCCAGCACCAGCAGAGAUGCAGAACAUAUAUCCAGCACACAGCCAGGACAACACGGACAAGAGAAUACUAGCCUUCAAUCAAAGGACAGUCUUGCUGUUGUCCAGCCUCCACCCACAGUACCCUCAGACUGUCCUGCUGUCGGGCUAAAGACAGAGGCUCGGGACUCCAGCCCUGCACCCAGACCAAGAGAAGUGAACAUGGAUGAUCGCACAGGCAACCUCUUUUAUGGCACCGUGACUGUGGUCCUCAGCAAAGACGUUUGCUCUGAUGGGUUUGUAAAAGAGGAUGAAGCCAUUGAAUCAGCGUACAUAAAAGUAGGCCGUCAGUUUGGCCUGAAUGAUCCUGGUACUGGUAAUACUUUCAGGACAGUGGUCUUGGAACAUUUGACUAAGUGUGGUAUUCAACCACCAUCGGAAAUCACAAGUCAACAGAAUGAUAGGAACUUCUGCAAACUUCAUUUUACCUUUUAUGAUGAAGAUGGCUCCACAACGAAGAAAAAAGCGGAACAGCAAGCGGCUAAGGUUGCACUACAACAGCUGUCUGGGUUCUUCAACUGCAGUUCUGAUGCGGUUCCUGAUGAAAACUACAAAGGCUUUCUGAAGGAACGUCUGGAUGCUCUUGGUAUGGAGAAUCCUGUCUACGAAACUGACCAAAAAAAGCCCCCUGAAGACGCAAGAAGCUCCAGCACCAGCAGAGAUGCAGAACAAAUAUCCAGCACACAAACACAGCAACAAGGAAAAGAGAAGGACAGUGUUGCUGUUGUGCAGCCUCCACCCACAACACCCUCAGACUGCACCAUCGGACUGACAACAGAGAGUCGGAACUCCAACCCUUCGCUCAUACCGAGAGAAGUGGACUUGGAGGAUCAUACAGAGAUCAAAUCCCUUCUGGCCGUGUAUCAUCUCAAGCCGCCAUCUGUAACAGUAGGGCGCAUUAGCACUGAUCAGAAUUUCAGCGUCACAAUGAACAUCAACUUGGAUAAAUUCACCUUUAAGAACAGCAAUGUCUACACCUCUAAGAAAGAUGCCAUACGCAAAACCUAUCAUUUACUCGGGCGUGCGUUGGGAGUUUUCCAGCAAGACACAGAUGAAAGUAAGGCAACUAUGUUGGUGAAGCAAGAUUUUUCACAGAAGGUCUCUCACUCAUCCUAAGGAAGACAUUAAGGGUGAUAAGAAUUUCUGCUGCUCCCUUACAGAGAUAACAUACAGUUUAGUCUGUGAUGGACAAGGCUCCUCAGAGGCCGAGGCAAGACAAGAUGCUCUGCAGAAAGCCAUUUGCACUCUGCCCUUGCUCUUCGGCCAUGAGGCUUUGCCUGCAUCCAGCAGCACUGAGGAAACUGAAUUUCAGAUUAAUACCUUACUGAGAAAUGCUUGUCAGAAAGAUCUCGCUUUCUCUCUCAGACCUAACCAGCACAAGAUCUCUGUUGACCUCCGAUUCAAAGACUUCACCAUGGCUAGCAAAAGCCAAAGGAACAAAAAGGAAAAUCGCAAUCUUCUCAGCAAACGCAUUCUGGGCCUGCUGGGGGAGGAGACAGAACCAAACUGUCCGUCGUUAAGAAACUGCUUAGACGACUGGUUUAAACAAAGAAAUCUGCAGCAGCCUGUGUUUGAGGAUACGGAGGAGGCACAAGGAUCUAAAGCUACUUUUUCUGUUGAACUGUCCUGUAGUCAUCCAGACUGGCAAGACAGCCUGGAGAAAGCGAAAAAAAAUCUGGUCCAGGAGCUUGAGAAAAGGUUUAAGUAUUUGAUUGACCAAAGCAAACAGGAUUAAUGUCAUCUAGUAUGUACUACCAAGCUGAUCUUAAAUGUACUUUUUCUGAUGAAAAAGGAAGCUUUUAGGAUCUAUGCACUUUAAGUAGGGUAUGAACAAACUUCACGAAAAACACAAGGCUUAUGUGAGGUACUUACAGCUAUAAUCUGGAUUCAUUACUUCUGGACUGGAGUUUUUAAAACCUGUAUCAAUUAGGAGGCAGUUUUAGUAACAUUUGAGACCAAAUCUUUCAGAUGUUUGCCAGUUAGCCCAUCAAUGUCAUUAUCUGAAAAUUUUACAUUCACUUAGGUCUCUAUUUUGUCUGAAUUUGCCUGAGCACAAAUCAGAACAAGCUCUGGCAUUUUUACUGAUCAUGCUAAAUUUAGUUGUUGGACAUAAAUAGGUUGCAUUGCCUAAAAGUGCUGCACUUAAUUACAUUUUUUUUUUUAAACAAUAAUGGUUUUUAAAGCAACAUGAAACACUAUUAUGCACUUUCUUUACAUUUUAAGGGUGAGGUUCUAACUUUAGUUCAGUGAAAUAUUACACGGGGUUUAAAAUUUAGGAGCAUGUUUUUGAUUCACUCCAGCAGGGGUGCACAACUCGGUCCCGAAGGACUGGUGUCCAGCAUAGUUCGGUGGUUCCUCUAUUCAAACACACUUUCUAAACCUGGCAAUUGACAGAUGAGUUGAAUCAGGUAUGUUUGAGCAGGAACAUAACCAAACUGUACUAGAUGCCACCCCCUCUCUAGGGCCAGAUUUGUGUACCCCUGUACUACAGGAAAUCUACUUACCAUAGCUCUGAACAUCAAUCACACACAUUGGUGUGAAGUGUGAUCUUUUAUGAGCAGUGCUUACCAACCCUUGUCCUGGAGAUCCAUCUUCUUGUGGAGUCUAGUUUCAACCACAGCUCGUCACACAUGCUUCAGCUAAUUCGCUUCUUCAGAAGUGCUUGAUUGGCUGGAUCAGCAGCAUUAGUGUUAGGUAAGGGGAGGGUUGCAUGGUAGAUUCAGAUUAGAAGUAAACUUUGCAGGAGAAGUAAACUUUGCAGGAGUGACCACUGUUUUAAAAUAUGCAUUUGUGUACUGUAUGAAUUCCAGCACUUAACUCUUUCUUACCUUGUGACAAUGUACAUCGUUAAGUCAUGGGUACAUAUUUAUUUUUUUACCAGCUUCAUCUUAUGUCCACUUUGAGCUGGAUUACUUUUCCCUGGGGAGCUUCUGUAAUUUAAGUCAUUGCAAGCGAGAUCUGUGAUUUUAAUGCAGUAUGAAUGUGCACAAACAAGUAUGACAGUAAUAAUUCUGGAGUGGACAGCCUGGUCUAUUUUUGUCUCAUCUAACCAUAGAAACCAGUUCCAUUCAAAGUUUAAGUAGUGUCUUGAGAACUCCAGGUGCUUAUAUAUGUAGCUUUUUCUGGCAUGCCUUUCAAAACUUUGUUGGCUUGGUGGCAUCAUAUUGUCGUUCUGGUGCCAUGAUAAACCCAAAAUCCUCAAAUGUUCUGCAAAUCUCCAGUCAUGACCUUUGGAGAUUUUUUUUUUCCUCUUUAACCAUCCCCACUGUUUGUGGGGGCAAAAUAGACUUGCAUGCUCAUUUCAGUUUACUUAAACUAAAUUUACUUCAGUUAAUCUUUCGCAUUUUUCAAUGUGGUUUAUCAACCACAAAGACAUUUUUCAUGACUAAUCUUUAUAAAGAGUGCCAGUAAUUAUAGAGCUGACUGGCUGUGACCUUUCAGUCUGGGCUAUCUGUGGUCAUUUGGGAAAUUACUCAGAGGCUGCAUCCAAAACUGCAUACUACCAUACAAAAUAGUACAUCAAAAUAGUACACCUCCAUUAUUAAUACAUUCAUGUACAUACAUAGUAUGCAUAGCAUAGUAUGUGGGGCUGGACUUUGGCCUCAUGCUUUAUCAUGUACUAAUUGGUCAGUCAAUUCUCUUAUAAAAUAUAUUACAGAAACUGCCCUACAUGAAUGCAGCUCAAAUAAAGCUUUAGAUGAUGAAGCUUCAUGUCUGAAAUAUGUCUUUUGGUAACUCCUGGAAUUUAGGUAAACUGUUUAAGCUUUGAUGAGAGACUGAACAUUUGACUGUCACUUUUGAACAUCAGACAUUUUCCUAUCCUGUGUCUGUAGAAGAUUAGUCUUAAUCUGGUAUUUGCUGUCAAGUAUGGAGUGGAGUAACUAUGCAAACUACUAACUCAAACAAACAUGAAUAUACUUUUUACAAAUCUUUACAAACAUGGUGGGUUAAAUGUCAUGAUUUCAUUUUAAAUGUCAUGAACAUUUUGUGAAAUUGUUGAACUGUGAGGAGGUUACAUUAUGUAUUUGCCAACAUUUUUGCUCACUGUCACAUUUGUGGAAGACAUACUCUUUUCCAUUCCUAAAUAUUUGAAGUGUUGGCUGGUGGCUAACACCAUGAGUUGCUGAGAAAACAGAAAUAAACGAUCAUGGGGA